CCUACGGGAGGCUGCAGUGGGGAAUAUUGGACAAUGGGCGCAAGCCUGAUCCAGCAAUGCCGCGUGUGUGAAGAAGGCCUUAGGGUUGUAAAGCACUUUCAGCAAUGAAGAAGUUGUAUUGGCUAAUAUCCAAUAUAAUUGACGUUAGUUGCAGAAGAAGUACUGGCUAACUCUGUGCCAGCAGCCGCGGUAAUACAGAGAGUGCAAGCGUUAAUCGGAAUUAUUGGGCGUAAAGGGUGUGUAGGUUGUUAAAUCCCUGGGCGUGAGCUAGGAAUUGCAUAUAAUACUGUUUAUCUAGAGUACUGUAGGGGGGAGUGGAAUUUCCGGUGUAGCGGUGAAAUGCGUAGAUAUCGGAAGGAACACCAGUGGCGAAGGCGACUUCCUGGACAAAUACUGACACUGAGACACGAAAGCGUGGGGAGCAAACAGGAUUAGAUACCCCAGUAGUC
RNAcentral lists this ribosomal RNA (449 nucleotides) under uncultured bacterium. RNAcentral's name for it is "partial 16S ribosomal RNA". It matches the Rfam family "Bacterial small subunit ribosomal RNA", at positions 338 to 795 of the family's 1533-position model. The record is from RNAcentral.